Long non-coding RNA from Lonchura striata (white-rumped munia), 312 nucleotides. RefSeq lists it as uncharacterized. Lineage: Eukaryota; Metazoa; Chordata; Aves; Passeriformes; Estrildidae. The record is from RefSeq and is a predicted model, not a curated record.
AGGUACCUGACAAUACAAAGAGGAGGUUGUACUUACAGUGCCAGGUGCAUAAGACGCUGGGAAGAAAGACGACGAGGUGAACUGACCUGAACUGGCAAAAGGAAUAUUCCGUACCAUAGAUCAUCAUCUUCAGUAAAUGAACUUGGAGGCAACUGGCCAGGAUGAGCUAACUGCUGCUUAGAGAUGGGCUGGGCAUCAGUCAAUGGGUGGUGAGCAAUUGUACUGUGCAUCACUUACCUUUCUUGGCUUCCAUUUCUCUCUCUCUUUUUGUUUUCUCUAAUUUCAUUCUGCUGUAAAACUGUUCUACCUCAA